AAGCUCUACUAGGGGUGCCUUCGGGCUGAGACAAAUGCGUUUGAACCCUAGAACCUGAUCUGGACGAUACCAGCGUAGGAAAGUAGAGGGUGUAGCAU
This 98-nucleotide non-coding RNA is filed under the name Halobacillus halophilus. Its description in RNAcentral is "TPP sequence". It matches the Rfam family "TPP riboswitch aptamer (THI element)". From Rfam's summary of the family: Vitamin B(1) in its active form thiamin pyrophosphate (TPP) is an essential coenzyme that is synthesised by coupling of pyrimidine and thiazole moieties in bacteria. The previously detected thiamin-regulatory element, thi box was extended, resulting in a new, highly conserved RNA secondary structure, the THI element, which is widely distributed in eubacteria and also occurs in some archaea. The record is from RNAcentral. RNAcentral also lists the same sequence under 1 other name. Lineage: Bacteria; Bacillati; Bacillota; Bacilli; Caryophanales; Bacillaceae.